AGUCUGGUGCCAGCAGCCGCGGUAAUUCCAGCUCUAAUAGCGUAUAUUAAAGUUGUUGCGGUUAAAAAGCUCGUAGUUCAAUCUUGGGUGUUCGCGGUGACGGUCGGCCCACUGGGUCUGUACUGUUUCGCGGCACUCGUCCAGGCUAGGUGCUCGCCUUGCUCUUAACUGAGUGAGGAGUAUUAGAGUUCUAGCGCUUUUACUUUGAGUAAUUUAGAGUGUUCAAAGCAGGCAAAAUCUUCAGCCACUAAAUACAUUAGCAUGGGAUAUGGAAUAGGACCUUGUUUCUAUUUCGGUGGUUUCUGGGAGCAGGGUAAUGAUUAAUAGGGACAGUUGGGGGCAUUCGUAUUUAAUUGUCAGAGGUGAAAUUCAUGGAUUUGUUAAAGACGAACUACUGCGAAAGCAUUUGCCAAGGAUGUUUUCAUUAAUCAAGAACGAAAGUUAGGGGAUCGAAGACGAUCAGAUACCGUCGUAGUCUUAACCAUAAACUAUGCCGACCAAGGAUCGGACGGUGUUAUUUAGAUGACCCGUCCGGCACUUUACGAGAAAUCACAAGUCUUUGGGUUCCGGGGGGAGUAUGGUCGCAAGGCUGAAACUUAAAGGAAUUGACGGAAGGGCACCACCAGGAGUGGAGCCUGCGGCUUAAUUUGACCCAACACGGGAAAACUCACCAGGUCCAGACAUAAGAAGGAUUGACAGAUUGAGAGCUCUUUCUUGAUUUUAUGGGUGGUGGUGCAUGGCCGUUCUUAGUUGGUGGAGUGAUUUGUCUGGUUAAUUCCGAUAACGAACGAGACCACAGCCUGCUAACUAGUUACGCUUAUACUUUGCCUCGUGUGAUGUAUAGGUGGCAAUACUUCUUAGAGGGACUUUCAGCGUUUAGCUGAAGGAAGUUUGUGGCAAUAACAGGUCUGUGAUGCCCUUAGAUGUUCUGGGCCGCACGCGCGCUACACUGACCGUGGCAACGAGUUUACCACCUUGCCCGAAGGGGCUGGGUAAUCUUUUGAAACGCGGUCGUGCUGGGGAUAGAUCAUUGCAAUUAUUGAUCUUGAACGAGGAAUUCCUAGUAAGCGCGAUUCAUCAGAUCGCGUUGAUUACGUCCCUGCCCUUUGUACACACCGCCCGUCGCACCUACCGAUUGGAUGAUCCGGUGAAAUUUUCGGAGAGAGAGCUAACGUGGGGCAACUCACUGGUUUUCUCAAAGUUACUUAAACCUUAUUAU
This 1219-nucleotide ribosomal RNA is filed under the name metagenome. RNAcentral describes it as "SSU rRNA". It matches the Rfam family "Eukaryotic small subunit ribosomal RNA", at positions 558 to 1772 of the family's 1831-position model. The record is from RNAcentral.